CCUACGGGAGGCAGCAGUGGGGAAUAUUGCACAAUGGGCGAAAGCCUGAUGCAGCAACGCCGCGUGAGCGAUGAAGGCUUUCGGGUCGUAAAGUCCUGUUCUCAAGGAAGAUAAUGACGGUAUUUAAGGAGUAAGCCCCGGCUAACUACGUGCCAGCAGCCGCGGUAAUACGUAGGGUGCUAGCGUUACUCGGAAUCACUGGGCGUAAAGAGCGCGUAGGUGGUUUAGUAAGUCAGAGGUGAAAGGCUAGGGCUAAACCUUAGUAAGCCUUUGAAACUGGGGAACUUGAGUAUAGGAGAGGAAGGUGGAAUUCCUGGUGUAGCGGUGAAAUGCGUAGAGAUUAAGAGGAAUACUCGUUGCGAAGGCGACUCGCUAGACUAUAACUGACACUGAGGCGCGAAAGCGUGGGGAGCAAACAGGAUUAGAUACCCUUGUAGUC
Molecule: ribosomal RNA, 439 nt
Filed under: uncultured bacterium
Lineage: Bacteria
Description: partial 16S ribosomal RNA
Rfam family: Bacterial small subunit ribosomal RNA
Source: RNAcentral